AUCACGACACUAGUUAAACAAUCUAGUAGAUAUUGUUGUUGGCUAAGAUUAAUCUUAUCUUGUUAAGAAAAUCUAAUUGUUGAAACCUAGAUCUAAAUUUUGGUCAAACACUACCGGCCUGCAACUUUUUGGGGCCGAACACAUUGAUAUUUUGUGGGUGACAGUGAUACUCAAAGCCACGAAGCCAGAAGACCUUAACCAAUUUGAUACUAUGCUGAAAUGUUUGUCUCGUUUUGAAGCUUAUAUUGUUAAAGAUAGGACACUUUUAUUUGUUGUCUAAGGACUGCUGUAGUAACUAAUCAUUAUGGUAGUCUUGCUUAAUCAGUUUUCUUGGUUCUCUCGUUUGCUAAUUCGAGAGCUUCUCUCAAAAUUUUCCCAGGAUAAUUGGAAAGAUUUCAUCAUUGUUUCAGGUAUGUGAAGAUCAGUUUGGUCAUAGCUCAUAUGCUAGCAGAUGACUUAAAAGAGAACCGUGUUAAUAAUUCAGGCAUCUGUUUUGAUCCCAAAGGCAAAGACAGCCUUGGCCUCCUGUCAACUUAAGAUCAGAUGGUGAGAGUGAGCUCAUGUUUCCAAGUGCUGAAAAUGCUCCUUACUGAAGCAGAGUUAGCCAAAUAUCUCAUUCAGAAGGCAGAGGCUGCUGGGAAAGGCAUCAUGAGCAUUUUGGGCCAAUCUGGCAUACAUAAUCAAGUUCUACAAGGGAACAGGACUGCAGACCUUCUCCUAAGAGUUUCCUGAUGCAAAUUCCAUUUGUUUCAAAAGGCUUUCAAACUUACUAGGAAAGGAAGAGAAAUGACAAUGCAACAACUUUUGGAGUAGGGUUUGAUUGAACCUUUUAGAUUCUUCAAGAAGCUCUAUCUUCUUCAUCAAACUUGCUGCCGCAUGCUGCAUAUGCUGCAUUAUUGUGUAAGCUAGAUUAAGCUGUUUUUCAAUUUUUUUCAAGAAACUAAUUGGUUGUCAAUUCAAUCUAAGGAGGAGGCAUAAAUCCAAGGCAUUACCUGCA
Non-coding RNA from Nicotiana tabacum (common tobacco), 997 nucleotides. The record is from RefSeq and is a predicted model, not a curated record. NCBI's taxonomy places the organism in Eukaryota, Viridiplantae, Streptophyta, Magnoliopsida, Solanales, Solanaceae.